RNAcentral lists this ribosomal RNA (554 nucleotides) under uncultured archaeon. Its description in RNAcentral is "bacterial SSU rRNA". It matches the Rfam family "Archaeal small subunit ribosomal RNA", at positions 325 to 879 of the family's 1478-position model. The record is from RNAcentral.
ACGGGGUGCAGCAGGCGCGAAAACUUUACAAUACGGGAAACCGCGAUAAGGGGAUACCGAGUGCCAGCAUAUUAUGUUGGCUGUCCACAUGUGUAAACGGCAUGUGUUAGCAAGGGCCGGGCAAGACCGGUGCCAGCCGCCGCGGUAACACCGGCGGCCCGAGUGGUAAUCACUUUUAUUGGGUCUAAAGGGUCCGUAGCCGGUUUGAUCAGUUCUUCGGGAAAUCUGACAGCUCAACUGUUAGGCUUCCGGGGAAUACUGUCAGACUUGGGACCGGGAGAGGUAAGAGGUACUACAGGGGUAGGAGUGAAAUCUUGUAAUCCCUGUGGGAUCACCAGUGGCGAAGGCGUCUUACCAGAACGGGUCCGACGGUGAGGGACGAAAGCUGGGGGCACGAACCGGAUUAGAUACCCGGGUAGUCCCAGCCGUAAACGAUGUUCGCUAGGUGUCAGGGGCGGUGCGACCGCUUCUGGUGCCGUAGGGAAGCCGUGAAGCGAACCACCUGGGAAGUACGGCCGCAAGGCUGAAACUUAAAGGAAUUGGCGGGGGAGCAC